This 468-nucleotide ribosomal RNA is filed under the name uncultured bacterium. RNAcentral's name for it is "partial 16S ribosomal RNA". It matches the Rfam family "Bacterial small subunit ribosomal RNA", at positions 28 to 507 of the family's 1533-position model. The record is from RNAcentral.
GACGAACGCUGGCGGCGUGCUUAACACAUGCAAGUCGAACGGAAAGGCCCUGCUUUUGUGGGGUGCUCGAGUGGCGAACGGGUGAGUAACACGUGAGUAACCUGCCCUUGACUUUGGGAUAACUUCAGGAAACUGGGGCUAAUACCGGAUAGGAGCUCCUGCUGCAUGGUGGGGGUUGGAAAGUUUCGGCGGUUGGGGAUGGACUCGCGGCUUAUCAGCUUGUUGGUGGGGUAGUGGCUUACCAAGGCUUUGACGGGUAGCCGGCCUGAGAGGGUGACCGGCAACAUUGGGACUGAGAUACGGCACAGACUCCUACGGGAGGCAGCAGUGGGGAAUAUUGAACAAUGGGCGGAAGCCUGAUGCAGCAAAGCCGCGUGCGGGAUGACGGCCUUCGGGUUGUAAACCGCUUUCGCCUGUGACGAAGCGUGAGUGACGGUAAUGGGUAAAGAAGCACCGGCUAACUACGUG